GAUGAACGCUGGCGGCGUGCCUAAUACAUGCAAGUCGAGCGAACAGACGAGGAGCUUGCUCCUCUGACGUUAGCGGCGGUCGGGUGAGUAACACGUGGAUAACCUACCUAUAAGACUGGGAUAACUUCGGGAAACCGGAGCUAAUACCGGAUAAUAUAUUGAACCGCAUGGUUCAAUAGUGAAAGACGGUUUUGCUGUCACUUAUAGAUGGAUCCGCGCCGCAUUAGCUAGUUGGUAAGGUAACGGCUUACCAAGGCAACGAUGCGUAGCCGACCUGAGAGGGUGAUCGGCCACACUGGAACUAAGACACGGUCCAGACUCCUACGGGAGGCAGCAGUAGGGAAUCUUCCGCAAUGGGCGAAAGCCUGACGGAGCAACGCCGCGUGAGUGAUGAAGGUCUUCGGAUCGUAAAACUCUGUUAUUAGGGAAGAACAAAUGUGUAAGUAACUAUGCACGUCUUGACGGUACCUAAUCAGAAAGCCACGGCUAACUACGUG
This 497-nucleotide ribosomal RNA is filed under the name uncultured bacterium. Its description in RNAcentral is "partial 16S ribosomal RNA". It matches the Rfam family "Bacterial small subunit ribosomal RNA", at positions 28 to 507 of the family's 1533-position model. The record is from RNAcentral.